Molecule: ribosomal RNA, 208 nt
Filed under: uncultured bacterium
Lineage: Bacteria
Description: partial 16S ribosomal RNA
Rfam family: Bacterial small subunit ribosomal RNA
Source: RNAcentral
UGCGUAGGCUGUGCAGAAAGUUAGGUGUGAAAUCCCCCGGCUCAACCGGGGAAUUGCGCUUAAAACUACUGUGCUAGAGGAAGACAGAGGUGAGCGGAACUUCGGGUGGAGCGGUGAAAUGCGUUGAUAUCCGAAGGAACACCGGUGGCGAAAGCGGCUCACUGGGUCUUUUCUGACGCUGAUGCACGAGAGCUAGGGGAGGCAAACG